This 2000-nucleotide long non-coding RNA is filed under the name Heterocephalus glaber (naked mole-rat). RNAcentral describes it as "lncRNA (ENSHGLG00000043114.1)". The record is from RNAcentral. Lineage: Eukaryota; Metazoa; Chordata; Mammalia; Rodentia; Bathyergidae.
AGGCAAGAAGGACUAUGGGGUCCCCGCCGGUGUUCCCGGGCAGGGCAGGCGGCGGCCCGGUGUUAUCUGUUCAACGUCCUGCCGGGGCCCAGGCCCCCGUUGUGGCUGGAGGGCGGGAAGGCCUCGGGCCUGUGCAGAGGCGGCGGGGACUGGGGCGCGGGGUGCGGGCCGGGCCGGCCGGGCGGCUGCUGCAGGUUCAGGAUGCUGUCGAUGGCGCUCUGCAGGUGCUCCGUGAGCGCGUCGUCCUGCGGGCUGUCGCUGGAGAAGCUGGCCUGGUCCAUGUCGGGUGACUCGGACUUGCGCCGCUUGGCAGGCGGCGCGGGGGCUGCGUCCCAACCGGGGUCGGGGUCCGGGGCGCUGGGGGCCGCGGGCUCGGGCGCUGCCGCCUUGCGCAGGCGCUGGUACAACUCGUCCUCCACCGCCGCCAGCUCGCGGAUGAGCCCGCUGGUGGCCUCUUCGGCGCGCCCGCCCACAUUCUCGCGCUUCAGGCCGAUGCGGCUGCGCGCCUCGUAUGUCUUGAUGGGCGGGCGGUUGCGUGAUGGCAUCGGGCCGUCCUCGUCGGCGUCCAGGGACGAGGCCGCGCAGGACGACAGGGACGGGGACGGCAAGGUCGCGGACGAGCUGUUUAUCCAAGGCAAGGGUGGUCUUCUCCUCCUGAAUAAACAUGCGGUCUAUCAUCACCAUCUCCGCUGAGGGGCUCACUCGCUGGGAGAAGAAAAGAUCCCCAAGUGAAAAGGCAAAGAGAUGACAGACGUGUCACCGCGCCCAGCCCCCCACUGUCCCUGCGAUGUGACCAUCUCCCUCCCGACCUCCUUUCCGGCAGAGGGGCCGGGUGGGAUGUGGGCCCUACCCGGGACUCCUCCAGGAGCAACAACCGGUACUUAUUGAGCAUGGCAUGGGUGCGUUUCAGCAGCUGUGUGGAGACCGUCUCAAACUCCUCGUCCACUGCCAGGAAGAGAAGGAGUGCAGGGCCAGGAUGUUGGGGGGCUGCACACUGCCCAUGCACCCCGAGCCGGGCAGGCAACUGCAGCACAGGGGCUCAGUGGUUUCCACGAGCUGAUGGCCCAGCCAGGGCCUUGGGGACAUGCGGGGAGGGAGGCCUCACCUUUGUGGUAGUCGCUAGGGGAAGGGAGGGCGCCCUGGUAGACGUGGUAGGGCAGGAGGCGGUGCAGGGCGUCCUCGAAGGAGGGGAAGGCUGUCUUGUAGUCGGGGUGGAGGACGGAGCCCUGGUGUUUGUGCAAAUGCUCCAGAAAGCUGCGGGUGGGGUGGGGCGAGACCACAGGCAGGCGGGGGUGAGGCCCGGGGAAGCUGUCCCCCACCCCAGCCCCAGCCAGACACUCGAUGGGGACUGCAGUGCGGGCUAUCAUGACUCCCACUUCACCGAAGAGGAAACUGAGGCCCGGAAAGGAUCCUCCUUGAUUUCCUUCAACUUUUCCUCAGCCUCUUGAGGGCUGGGAUUCAGGCAUGCGCCACCACGCCUGGGUCCCCAGUCUUCUCCAGGAAGGAAACAAGUGCACUCUGGUGAAAGCACGCUGCCUCCAGCAGUGCAGCUGGGCAUGCGCAGAGAGGGUCUCCCAGAGGGGCGCAAGGUGGGGUGCAAGGGAGGCGCUGCCACUCACCAGGCCUCCUUGCUGGGCUGCAGGGUGGGGGUUUUCUUCAGGCCGCUCAGCUUGCCCUCAUACUGGGGAGGAUGGGAGGAGACACGAGGCUGAGGCAGGCUCCACCCACCCACCAACCCGCAGGUCUCCCACACCCACAACCACAUUUUGCCCCACAUCACUUUGUGUUUUUCUUUUGCUCUGCCUUAGUGUCGCCCUCCACUCCCACGGCUGUCCGGGGACUCGCCCGCGCCGGCCUCCCUGUCCUGGGCCACUUCCUGUAGCACCGCCGCUUUCCCUCCUCCUGCCUGUGUCGGCUGCUGGUCUCCGAGUUUAAUCUCCAGCCCUGCCACUGGGUCCCGGCUGCCCGUCCCAGCCCUGCCCGAGGGCCUUACCUGCAGC